ACCUACGGGAGGCAGCAGUGAGGAAUAUUGGUCAAUGGGCGGGAGCCUGAACCAGCCAAGCCGCGUGAGGGAAGAAGGCACAGCGUAUCGUAAACCUCUUUUGUCAGGGAACAAAGGCGGGGACUAGUCCCCGGAUGAGGGUACCUGAAGAAAAAGCAUCGGCUAACUCCGUGCCAGCAGCCGCGGUAAUACGGAGGAUGCGAGCGUUAUCCGGACUUAUUGGGUUUAAAGGGUGCGCAGGCGGCCUGUUAAGUCAGCGGUAAAACCCCGGGGCUCAACCCCGGCCAGCCGUUGAAACUGGCGGG
RNAcentral lists this ribosomal RNA (305 nucleotides) under uncultured bacterium. Its description in RNAcentral is "bacterial SSU rRNA". It matches the Rfam family "Bacterial small subunit ribosomal RNA", at positions 337 to 640 of the family's 1533-position model. The record is from RNAcentral.